UUACCUACUCUUGACAUCCAGAGAACUUUCCAGAGAUGGAAGGGUGCCUUCGGGAAUUCUGAGACAGGUGCUGCAUGGCUGUCGUCAGCUCGUGUUGUGAAAUGUUGGGUUAAGUCCCGCAACGAGCGCAACCCUUAUCCUUUGUUGCCAGCGGUUCGGCCGGGAACUCAAAGGAGACUGCCAGUGAUAAACUGGAGGAAGGUGGGGAUGACGUCAAGUCAUCAUGGCCCUUACGGGUAGGGCUACACACGUGCUACAAUGGCGUAUACAAAGAGAAGCGAACUUGCGAGAGUAAGCGGACCUCAUAAAGUACGUCGUAGUCCGGAUUGGAGUCUGCAACUCGACUCCAUGAAGUCGGAAUCGCUAGUAAUCGUAGAUCAGAAUGCUGCGGUGAAUACGUUCCCGGGCCUUGUACACACCGCCCGUCACACCAUGGGAGUGGGUUGCAAAAGAAGUAGGUAGCUUAACCUUCGGGAGGGCGCUUACCACUUUGUGAUUCAUGACUGGGGUGAAGUCGUAACAAGGUAACCAAGGGCGAAUUCGCGGC
This 547-nucleotide ribosomal RNA is filed under the name uncultured bacterium. Its description in RNAcentral is "bacterial SSU rRNA". It matches the Rfam family "Bacterial small subunit ribosomal RNA", at positions 971 to 1518 of the family's 1533-position model. The record is from RNAcentral.